RNAcentral lists this ribosomal RNA (382 nucleotides) under Buttiauxella sp. 01WB03.2-68. RNAcentral describes it as "bacterial SSU rRNA". It matches the Rfam family "Bacterial small subunit ribosomal RNA", at positions 84 to 469 of the family's 1533-position model. The record is from RNAcentral. Lineage: Bacteria; Pseudomonadati; Pseudomonadota; Gammaproteobacteria; Enterobacterales; Enterobacteriaceae.
CUGGGUGACGAGCGGCGGACGGGUGAGUAAUGUCUGGGAAACUGCCUGAUGGAGGGGGAUAACUACUGGAAACGGUAGCUAAUACCGCAUAACGUCUUCGGACCAAAGAGGGGGACCUUCGGGCCUCUUGCCAUCAGAUGUGCCCAGAUGGGAUUAGCUAGUAGGUGAGGUAAUGGCUCACCUAGGCGACGAUCCCUAGCUGGUCUGAGAGGAUGACCAGCCACACUGGAACUGAGACACGGUCCAGACUCCUACGGGAGGCAGCAGUGGGGAAUAUUGCACAAUGGGCGCAAGCCUGAUGCAGCCAUGCCGCGUGUAUGAAGAAGGCCUUCGGGUUGUAAAGUACUUUCAGCGAGGAGGAAGGCGUUGUGGUUAAUAACCC